This 253-nucleotide ribosomal RNA is filed under the name uncultured bacterium. RNAcentral's name for it is "partial 16S ribosomal RNA". It matches the Rfam family "Bacterial small subunit ribosomal RNA", at positions 524 to 776 of the family's 1533-position model. The record is from RNAcentral.
UACGUAGGGAGCAAGCGUUGUCCGGAAUCAUUGGGCGUAAAGCGCGCGUAGGUGGCCACAUAAGUCCGUUGUGAAAGUCAAAGGCUCAACCUUUGAAAGCCGAUGGAUACUGUGUGGCUAGAGUACGGAAGAGGCGAGUGGAAUUCCUGGUGUAGCGGUGAAAUGCGCAGAUAUCAGGAGGAACACCAAUGGCGAAGGCAGCUCGCUGGGACGGUACUGACGCUGAGGCGCGAAAGCGUGGGGAGCAAACAGG